GACGAACGCUGGCGGCGUGCUUAACACAUGCAAGUCGAACGGAAAGGCCCUGCUUGCAGGGUACUCGAGUGGCGAACGGGUGAGUAACACGUGGGUGAUCUGCCCUGCACUUCGGGAUAAGCUUGGGAAACUGGGUCUAAUACCGGAUAGGAGCCAUCUUUAGUGUGGUGGUUGGAAAGUUUUUUCGGUGUAGGAUGAGCUCGCGGCCUAUCAGCUUGUUGGUGGGGUAAUGGCCUACCAAGGCGGCGACGGGUAGCCGGCCUGAGAGGGUGUACGGCCACAUUGGGACUGAGGUACGGCCGAGACUCCUACGGGAGGAAGCAGGGGGGAAUAUUGCACAAGGGGCGCAAGCCUGAUGCAGCGACGCCGCGUGUGGGAUGAAGGCCUUCGGGUUGUAAACUCCUUUCGCUAGGGACGAAGCUUUUUGUGACGGUACCUAGAUAAGAAGCACCGGCUAACUACGUG
RNAcentral lists this ribosomal RNA (465 nucleotides) under uncultured bacterium. RNAcentral's name for it is "partial 16S ribosomal RNA". It matches the Rfam family "Bacterial small subunit ribosomal RNA", at positions 28 to 507 of the family's 1533-position model. The record is from RNAcentral.